This 253-nucleotide ribosomal RNA is filed under the name uncultured bacterium. Its description in RNAcentral is "partial 16S ribosomal RNA". It matches the Rfam family "Bacterial small subunit ribosomal RNA", at positions 524 to 776 of the family's 1533-position model. The record is from RNAcentral.
UACGGAGGAUGCAAGCGUUAUCCGGAAUGAUUGGGCGUAAAGCGUCCGCAGGUGGCUAUGUAAGUCUGCUGUUAAAGAGUGAGGCUCAACCUCAUAAGAGCAGUGGAAACUACAUGGCUAGAGUGCGUUCGGGGCAGAGGGAAUUCCUGGUGUAGCGGUGAAAUGCGUAGAGAUCAGGAAGAACACCGGUGGCGAAAGCGCUCUGCUGGGCCGACACUGACACUGAGAGACGAAAGCUAGGGGAGCGAAUGGG